RNAcentral lists this unclassified non-coding RNA (666 nucleotides) under Bradyrhizobium sp. STM 3050. Its description in RNAcentral is "partial 16S-23S ribosomal RNA intergenic spacer". The stretch from base 100 to 172 matches the Rfam family "tRNA". The record is from RNAcentral. Lineage: Bacteria; Pseudomonadati; Pseudomonadota; Alphaproteobacteria; Hyphomicrobiales; Nitrobacteraceae.
AGUUGGUUAGAGCGCGCGCUUGAUAAGCGUGAGGUCGGAAGUUCAAGUCUUCCCAGGCCCACCAUUUUGAUCGAGUGCGGAGCAUUCGUCUUCUGGUACGGGGCCAUAGCUCAGCUGGGAGAGCGCGUGCUUUGCAAGCAUGAGGUCGUCGGUUCGAUCCCGUCUGGCUCCACCAGAUGGAAUUGAAGCUCGAGAAUGCCUCGUCAAAUUCGUCCGCGAAACAUCACUUCGCACUCAUUGGUCCGGAUGGACGGUGACGUGCGUGUUUUCUGACAUCGUAAAGAGGAGAUCGAUCCGAGUUUGGAUCUGCGAAGCAAUUCGCGGGUACCAUUCCUAAUCUCCAGAUCGUUUUCGGCGCUCGUUCAUCGCUACUCAUCGCAAGAUGAGUGAGAUGAGUGAGUUGUAAAACGAUCUUUGUAGCGAAGCUUGACCGCCUCGCUAUCGGGCCGAUCUUACGAAGCAAGCUGGUCUUUCUAGUCAAUGUCCGGCUGUGCAAUCGCAUUCAUCGAGGAUGCGCGCCUGGGACUUCGGUCUUUGGGCAAUUACACAGACAACAUUCUGCCGAGUGUGUGGACAUUGAUAAUGAGAGCAAUCAAGUGCCUUAAGGGUGUUCGGUGGAUGCCUUGGCGCUGAGAGGCGAUGAAGGACGUGCUACGCUGCGAUAAG